Molecule: microRNA precursor, 201 nt
Filed under: Oryza brachyantha (malo sina)
Lineage: Eukaryota; Viridiplantae; Streptophyta; Magnoliopsida; Poales; Poaceae
Description: MIR812 microRNA precursor family
Rfam family: MIR812 microRNA precursor family
Source: Rfam by way of RNAcentral
AAUAAGAUUAUUUUUUAGUUUUUUGCUAUAAUAUUUUGACUCUUUGUCUUAUUUAAUUUUUUUUUGCAAUUAAUAUUUUUAUUCUUACUAGAUGAUAAAACAUUAAAGCAUGAAUAGUACUUUAUGUGUGACUAAUUUUUUUAUAUUUUUGUACAAAUUUUUCAAAUAAGAUAAAUGAUCAAACGUUGGACAUGGAAAAAC